This 492-nucleotide ribosomal RNA is filed under the name uncultured bacterium. RNAcentral describes it as "bacterial SSU rRNA". It matches the Rfam family "Bacterial small subunit ribosomal RNA", at positions 30 to 513 of the family's 1533-position model. The record is from RNAcentral.
AUUGAACGCUGGCGGCAGGCCUAACACAUGCAAGUCGAGCGGUAGAGAGAAGCUUGCUUCUCUUGAGAGCGGCGGACGGGUGAGUAAUGCCUAGGAAUCUGCCUGGUAGUGGGGGAUAACGUUCGGAAACGAACGCUAAUACCGCAUACGUCCUACGGGAGAAAGCAGGGGACCUUCGGGCCUUGCGCUAUCAGAUGAGCCUAGGUCGGAUUAGCUAGUUGGUGAGGUAAUGGCUCACCAAGGCGACGAUCCGUAACUGGUCUGAGAGGAUGAUCAGUCACACUGGAACUGAGACACGGUCCAGACUCCUACGGGAGGCAGCAGUGGGGAAUAUUGGACAAUGGGCGAAAGCCUGAUCCAGCCAUGCCGCGUGUGUGAAGAAGGUCUUCGGAUUGUAAAGCACUUUAAGUUGGGAGGAAGGGUAGGUAACCUAAUACGUUGCUACUUGACGUUACCGACAGAAUAAGCAACCGGCUAACCUUCGUGCCAGCA